CGCUGGGUAGCUAUGUGCGGACGGGAUAAGUGCUGAAAGCAUCUAAGCAUGAAGCCCCCCNCGAGAUGAGAUUUCCCAUUCGUAAGAAGUAAGAUCCCUCAGAGACGAUGAGGUAGAUAGGUCUGAGGUGGAAGCGUAGCGAUACGUGGAGCUGACAGAUACUAAUCGAUCGAGGACUUAACCA
This 184-nucleotide ribosomal RNA is filed under the name Schinkia azotoformans MEV2011. RNAcentral describes it as "Bacillus azotoformans MEV2011 partial 23S ribosomal RNA". It matches the Rfam family "Bacterial large subunit ribosomal RNA", at positions 2739 to 2925 of the family's 2925-position model. Lineage: Bacteria; Bacillati; Bacillota; Bacilli; Caryophanales; Bacillaceae. The record is from RNAcentral.